This 253-nucleotide ribosomal RNA is filed under the name uncultured bacterium. Its description in RNAcentral is "partial 16S ribosomal RNA". It matches the Rfam family "Bacterial small subunit ribosomal RNA", at positions 524 to 776 of the family's 1533-position model. The record is from RNAcentral.
UACGUAGGGUGCGAGCGUUGCCCGGAAUUAUUGGGCGUAAAGAGCUUGUAGGUGGUUUGUCGCGUCUGCUGUGAAAAUCCGAGGCUCAACCUCGGACUUGCAGUGGGUACGGGCAGACUAGAGUGUGGUAGGGGAGACUGGAAUUCCUGGUGUAGCGGUGGAAUGCGCAGAUAUCAGGAGGAACACCGAUGGCGAAGGCAGGUCUCUGGGCCAUUACUGACACUGAGAAGCGAAAGCAUGGGGAGCGAACAGG